GAGAGCAGCGAGAGAGAGGAGGGGGGAGAGGGAGAAGCAGCUAGAAUAAUGUUUAUAAACCACUUCAAAGUUUAUAAACCAGAAACUUCACACAGCGCACGUUACCGGAGGAAUCUGAUCAGAAAUCGGCGACAAAUGAUCAACAUCUGCGGUCCAGAUUCAGGUUUUCCUGACGGUUUCUCUCAGAUCCAUCUGUGAGAAAUGACUGACAGAAUCAUCCCAGAGGAGAAGAAAACAUUAGCAGUGAGCAAAUAGCUCUGUUUACAUGGAGAUACAGAGCUAACCCGUUAGCAUGUAGCUACAUGCUAACGGGUUAGCUACAUGCUACCGCUAUGAGACGGUGUGUAACCACAGCGACCAUCAGGGUGGAAAAUAGAAGAUGUGAAACAGUAGUCAGUUCAUUAUUUCUGGUAAAGACACCUGAUAAAUGUAUGGAAGAUCAGAGUAAUGGUAUAUUAUUUACAGUAGGAGCUGUCUCUGUGUUACCAUGACUACAGACCACCGGAGCUUAGUUUACCGGAGCUGAAAGACUUUCUCCUGUACCAUGUCAGCAUAACUGAUGAUUACAAAUGCUGUGAAUAAUUAAUAUUGUCAUCUGUCUACUCAAAUAAAGUUUGACUGUGAAACAGAAAUGUGUUGUGUUGCUUACAAGUCACUAUUUAUUACCUGUAGCCUACUCUUCUACAUGCAUGACAUCAAAUAUAUAUGAUCUAUAAAUAUCACCUGUUGAAACAGUGUAAUUACAUAAAGCUUUUGUGAAGGAACAUGUUAUAUUUAGAUGAUGGGAGUACAUGAAGCCUGUUCUGCUGGUUCUUGCAGACUAACAGGAGCUACUUUGCUCAUAGUUUGGUUGAGAGUGGGGGGCGGGGUCAGUUAGCUGAAGGUUCUGCUCUGGUUCGACCAGGAAACCCUUACAUGGCUUGCAAUUUUCUAAUGACGUCAGAAGAGAAGGAAAAAAAGCUAAGUGAUUUUCUACACCUAUUUCCGGACAAACGGAGCAGGAGAAAAAGAGAGAGGAUGGUCUUUUAUGAUACUAUGGUGACCUGUAGACACACUGGGGACAGAUAUUGAUGUU
This is a long non-coding RNA of Sebastes umbrosus (honeycomb rockfish), 1075 nucleotides long. RefSeq lists it as uncharacterized. The record is from RefSeq and is a predicted model, not a curated record. Lineage: Eukaryota; Metazoa; Chordata; Actinopteri; Perciformes; Sebastidae. The transcript is spliced from 4 exons.